GGACUACCGGGGUAUCUAAUCCUGUUCGCUCCCCACGCUUUCGCUCCUCAGCGUCAGUAUCGGCCCAGAGACCCGCCUUCGCCACCGGUGUUCCUCCUGAUAUCUGCGCAUUUCACCGCUACACCAGGAAUUCCAGUCUCCCCUACCGAACUCUAGCCUGCCCGUAUCGACCGCAAGCUCAGGGUUGAGCCCUGAGAUUUCACGAACGACGUAACAAGCCGCCUACGAGCUCUUUACGCCCAAUAAAUCCGGACAACGCUCGCGCCCUACGUCUUACCGCGGCGGCUGGCAC
RNAcentral lists this ribosomal RNA (292 nucleotides) under uncultured bacterium. Its description in RNAcentral is "partial 16S ribosomal RNA". The record is from RNAcentral.